AACUAACAGCAAAUCCAGAGAAUAAAGAAACGAUAAAGUCUAAGAAUAAAUCAUGGAUUACUUAUGUUGUUACCGCCAGAGAAUUGAGAUAGUUCCAAGACUGAACUCAACCUUAGCGAUAAACAUAAACUAACAGCAAAUCCAGAGAUAAACUAACAGUUCCAGGAAUACAUCUAUCUAUUUUGAUCCUUAUUAGAUUAAAAGAAAGAAAUGAAGAUGCAAUGCAAAUCCAGAGAGUUUAAAAUCAAUUUUGAUCGGUGACAAGAUGACACAGCAAGAAGCAAACACGAAAAACGAGCAAGAUCGAAAGAGAGAGUGAGAGAGUGAUAAACCUGCAGAAAGGCAUCAUCGAGUUCACGAAAGCUGGAUUCCGCUGAAGAAGGAGAAGCAGUUUUAAGAAGCUCCGGCGAUGGAGCAGUCUCCGAUGACGAAUCUUGGCAAACCAUGGCUUGGUUUUCCCGCCAAACAGAGAGAGAUGAAUUGCAGUUUGCAAAACGAAAAGAAAGACACGACAACCUAAACAAAGAAGAUAGGAUUGGACAAAAAGUGAAGUGCAGGUGAGCAGGUCACAUAAGAC
Molecule: non-coding RNA, 577 nt
Organism: Arachis ipaensis
Lineage: Eukaryota; Viridiplantae; Streptophyta; Magnoliopsida; Fabales; Fabaceae
Source: RefSeq, a predicted model, not a curated record